ACUCCUACGGGAGGCAGCAGUGGGGAAUAUUGCACAAUGGGCGCAAGCCUGAUGCAGCCAUGCCGCGUGUAUGAAGAAGGCCUUCGGGUUGUAAAGUACUUUCAGCAGUGAGGAAGGUGGAUAUGUUAAUAGCAUAUUCUAUUUGUACGUUAGCUGCAGAAGAAGCACCGGCUAACUCCGUGCCAGCAGCCGCGGUAAUACGGAGGGUGCGAGCGUUAAUCGGAAUUACUGGGCGUAAAGCGCAUGCAGGUGGUUUGUUAAGUCAGAUGUGAAAGCCCGGGGCUCAACCUCGGAAUUGCAUUUGAAACUGGCAAACUAGAGUACUGUAGAGGGGUAGAAUUUCAGGUGUAGCGGUGAAAUGCGUAGAGAUCUGAAGGAAUACCGGUGGCGAAGGCGGCCCCUGGACAGAUACUGACACUCAGAUGCGAAAGCGUGGGAGCAAACAGGAUUAGAUA
RNAcentral lists this ribosomal RNA (455 nucleotides) under uncultured bacterium. RNAcentral describes it as "bacterial SSU rRNA". It matches the Rfam family "Bacterial small subunit ribosomal RNA", at positions 335 to 784 of the family's 1533-position model. The record is from RNAcentral.